Long non-coding RNA from Anthonomus grandis grandis, 715 nucleotides. RefSeq lists it as uncharacterized. The record is from RefSeq and is a predicted model, not a curated record. The transcript has 3 exons. Lineage: Eukaryota; Metazoa; Arthropoda; Insecta; Coleoptera; Curculionidae.
CAAGCACAUCUACCAGAAACAGGCUAUGGAAAAAGUUUUACCCUGAAAUUGUUGGGAAGGAACAAAUAAAACACAUAAUAUGUCUGAUGUGUACUAAUGAUAUCCAGACAUUUUCAUAUUUUAACUGUUUAAACAAACAUUUGCUUGAUAUUCACCAUAUAACUGUCAAAGAAUCAAUUUUAAAUUUUAGGAAUUUUGAAGAAUUCACAUUUUGGAGGGCACAAGAUAAUAGGGAAGUAGAUUAUACUUGUCAGACCCGAAACAAGUUUAAGAAUGGGGAAGAACACAUAUUUUACAAUUGCAACAGGAGAGAUAUCAGAGGAUUUAAUAGCGCGUGCAAAGUGAGAAGUGAGAAGUCUGGGGGAAGCAUUCGCAUUCAAGGAACAUGUCCCUCAAGGAUUUUAGUAAAAGUUUUAACAAGCGGAUCAGUUGUUGUGAAAUUUGUGGAAACUCAUGUAGGACAUGCAGACGAGUUAAGAACAAAACGGUUGUCCAAGGCUGAAGAAAAUAUUGUAGUUGGGCAAUUGACUGCAGGAGUGACAAAACGAAAGGAUAAUUCAAGAUGCUAGGAAAAUUCAGAAUAACACAAUAGAAAGACUAAACCUACUAACAAGAUGAGACCUUGCAUAUUUGAUAAGGAAGUAUAAUAUUGACAAAAAAAGAGAUGCUGAUGAUAUGGUAGCGACACCUUUAAAAAUUAAUGAAUGAAAUAGCC